This 393-nucleotide long non-coding RNA is filed under the name Phoenix dactylifera (date palm). Its description in RNAcentral is "long non-coding RNA (PDAC_LNC006557)". The record is from RNAcentral. Lineage: Eukaryota; Viridiplantae; Streptophyta; Magnoliopsida; Arecales; Arecaceae.
UUACUAUUAUUUUCCCAAAAAAAUGACACUCUCAUUCUAAGAAAGCUACAGUAUUUUGUAUAACAUGACGGCAUGCAUCUUGGGGUUUUACCAGCAUUCAAAAAGAAAGAGAAGAAGAGAGGAAAGAUCAAAGGAAGAAAGAAGAAAAGAUGGAUCUUUCUUACCUCGGUAGAGCAGAGGAUCCGACCUCUUUAUGAGCUCUUCCGUUCAACCUUGGUUCCCAGGACCCGUCGAGCCGCCGCGGUCGCCGUCGACGGGGAGGCCGAAGUUGUCGCACGGGGGAGGAGAGGGCAGAGGCGGAGGUCCGGAGGAGAGGGCUCGGGAGGCGAAGAAUCCGGAGGAGAGGAGAGGGGAGAGACUUGAGAGAGACUGAGGGAGGGAAUAGAGCUCGAG